MicroRNA precursor from Ochotona princeps (American pika), 69 nucleotides. Ensembl annotates it as microRNA 302a. Its record names the gene MIR302A. The record is from Ensembl. Lineage: Eukaryota; Metazoa; Chordata; Mammalia; Lagomorpha; Ochotonidae.
CCACCACUUAAACGUGGGUGUACUUGCUUUGAAACUAAACAAGUAAGUGCUUCCAUGUUUUGGUGAUGG